RNAcentral lists this ribosomal RNA (293 nucleotides) under uncultured bacterium. RNAcentral describes it as "partial 16S ribosomal RNA". It matches the Rfam family "Bacterial small subunit ribosomal RNA", at positions 775 to 1067 of the family's 1533-position model. The record is from RNAcentral.
GGAUUAGAUACCCUGGUAGUCCACGCCGUAAACGAUGUCUACUAGUUGUUGGGGAACUUGAUUCCUUAGUAACGAAGCUAACGCGAUAAGUAGACCGCCUGGGGAGUACGGUCGCAAGAUUAAAACUCAAAUGAAUUGACGGGGGCCCGCACAAGCGGUGGAGCAUGUGGUUUAAUUCGAAGCAACGCGAAGAACCUUACCAGGUCUUGACAUCCUGCGAACUUGGUAGAGAUAGCUUGGUGCCUUCGGGAACUCUGAGACAGGUGCUGCAUGGCUGUCGUCAGCUCGUGCCG